Molecule: ribosomal RNA, 791 nt
Filed under: metagenome
Description: bacterial SSU rRNA
Rfam family: Bacterial small subunit ribosomal RNA
Source: RNAcentral
AAAGGUGACCUCUUCAUGAAAGUUGCCGUUCAUAGACGGGCUCGCGUACCAUUAGCUAGUUGGUAGGGUAAUGGCCUACCAAGGCUACGAUGGUUAGCUGGUCUGAGAGGAUGAUCAGCCACACUGGAACUGGAACACGGUCCAGACUCCUACGGGAGGCAGCAGUGAGGAAUUUUGCGCAAUGGGGGAAACCCUGACGCAGCAACGCCGCGUGAGCGAAGAAGGCCUUCGGGUCGUAAAGCUCUGUCAAGUGGGAAAAAAGCCUUUCGGUUAAUAUCCGGGAGGUGUGAUGGUACCACUGGAGGAAGCACCGGCUAACUCCGUGCCAGCAGCCGCGGUAAUACGGAGGGUGCAAGCGUUGUUCGGAUUUACUGGGCGUAAAGGGCGUGCAGGCGGUUUGGUAAGUCAGAUGUGAAAGCCCUGGGCUUAACCCGGGAAGUGCAUUUGAAACUGCCUUUCUUGAGUAUGGGAGAGGAGAGUGGAAUUCCCAGUGUAGAGGUGAAAUUCGUAGAUAUUGGGAGGAACACCGGUGGCGAAGGCGACUCUCUGGACCAAUACUGACGCUGAGACGCGAAAGCGUGGGGAGCAAACAGGAUUAGAUACCCUGGUAGUCCACGCUGUAAACGAUGAGAACUAGGUGUAGCGGGUAUUGACCCCUGCUGUGCCGCAGUUAACGCAUUAAGUUCUCCGCCUGGGGAGUACGGCCGCAAGGCUAAAACUCAAAGGAAUUGACGGGGGCCCGGCGACAAGCGGUGGAGGCAUGUGGUUUAAUUCGUACGCAACGCGAAGAA